GUUGGAACCUAGGGUUUAAUAAUAUGUUUCACGAAGAAUAAAAACAAAAAAUGUUGUCAACGAUAACCAAAAAUACUGCAGAGAUGUUGGGGAGUAUCUCAUUCGUCUUGAUUCGUCCUUUUCAAACCACUCAACAAUGUCCAAAAACAGGUCGAAUGCAAUGUUGUUUUAAAGGAAAACGUCCACUAAUGACAAAAAAAAUCAAAAAUCUUUCCCUUUUCCCUUCGUCUGAGAGUUUAUCUAAAGCACUUUGAAAAACUUUAUGUUCUUCCUCAAUGUCUUCCAUGUGGUCUUUCUCGUGGUCUACUACGUGGUCUUCUUCUGUGACUUCUUCUAUGUCUUCUUCGUUGUCUAAUACAUGCUCUUCCUUAUGGUCUUCCUCGAGAUUAUCUUGGCUUACAUCGAUGUUCGUGAAUAAUAAAUUCUGUAUAUCUGCCCUUUUUGUUUCGAAAAUUUCGUGAUUUUGGGUGAACAGAUUACGUCUAAUAUAUAUAGGUGUUGAAGUUUUGAUCGGCGAUAUACUUUUCUUUAAUAUAUGUGGUGAUCUCUGUGACGUAUAUUUGACGACAGGACUACUCCCACAGGGUUUAGUUCGCUUCGAGGGCGGGGAUAACUUUUAUCUCCAUAGCUUUUUGUAGAGAGUCAAUUUUAGUCCUCUUUUCCUUUUACCUUUGAAUAAUGGCAUUUUCUGAAUUUGAGCAAACAAUUUUAAAUAGUUUGAUUUCAUUGAAUCAGUGAUCAGUUUACAUCUGUUAAAGUAUAAGGACAAAUCUGUGAUGAUUUUUAAUCAGCA
RNAcentral lists this long non-coding RNA (793 nucleotides) under Mytilus galloprovincialis (Mediterranean mussel). The record is from RNAcentral. Lineage: Eukaryota; Metazoa; Mollusca; Bivalvia; Mytilida; Mytilidae.